Molecule: non-coding RNA, 2675 nt
Organism: Paramisgurnus dabryanus
Lineage: Eukaryota; Metazoa; Chordata; Actinopteri; Cypriniformes; Cobitidae
Source: RefSeq, a predicted model, not a curated record
UGUUGCACUUUCACCACCGCUAACAAUCUGAAACAUCGCGCAGACGUGUACUCGCUCUGUAGUUUGUAGCUCGCGCUCCGGCUACUGUAAACAACUCCACCUUCUUUGAUUUGAUUGGCUAUCGCAUCAUUUUGAUUUUGACAAGCACUUUAGACUGCUGAUUGAGGCAGACAGAUAGAAAUAGGCGUUGCACAGUAUUUACAAUUAUAUAUUAGGCCGUUAUUAUUCCAAUAGUGAUUGCUAUUACACACCACGGGGAUCUUAAUGGUGGGCACGAGCCUGCGUGAAAAAAUGGAUUUGGUCGUAAGAGCGUGAGAAAUGGGGUCAAUUGAGUGUGCCUUGCCAUGUAGGAGUAUUUUCUCAAGGCCUGCGACUGAGGGUCAUAUUUCAAUUCAAAGGAUGAUACUGAAGAACAGAAAGUGAUUGAGAUGCCUCCAUCUUGGGUUUGGAAAUGCGUUACCCAGGAGUCAUGAAAGUUAUCUAGAACAGGAAAGUCAAGCACCUUAUCUUCUAAAAGAUGCUCUGGUGACCAGACUUACAGGGAUCUUGAGCCACAAAACCUGAGACUGUGAAGGAGUGGUUUAAACAUGGCAGUGAUUGUCUUGAGGAGGAAAAACUGCAGAACAUUAGGCGGUGAAGGAGCGAUGCUCUUAAAUAUGGUUAAGGAGAAGUUUCACGGAGCCAGUAAAGAAGUGGCUAAAAGGAUCGUUAUGAUGUCGGAUGCCAGAUCCACCUAAACUUUCAUCUAGAGCAGUGUUUCCAAAUCCUGGUCCUUGAGUACCCCCUCCUAGAAAGUUUUAUAUGACUCCUUAUUUAAAACACUUGAUUCAACUCAACAGCUUGUUAGGGAGACCUGUUAACCAUUCUGGAAGGAGGCUGAUUGGUUGUUUUAAAUAAGGAGACAUCUACAACUUUCUGGAAAGGGGUACUUGAGGACCAGGAUUGGGAAGGACUGAUCAUGACGAAGAUGGAAAGAUCCUAUUUCAUCAAAGCUAAAGAAGCAGGAGACUUGGGACACAAGCACAAGCUCACUCCAGACAUGGUUUCUGGCUUUCAGGUUGACAGCGUCAGACAGUUUUUGGAGGAGGGCACAGCGUUGGAUGCCAGAUUCAAGUCAAAAGUGUCAGAUGAAGUGUGGUACAGACUGGAGGAGGAGCUGAUAUAAAUGAACAGGCUCAGGGCCAGCAGAUGAAUCAGGGGCUUAAAGAGAGAGCAGAUGACCAAGAUGACUGCAUAUAUGAUGAAGACAUCUGUGCAUCUGCCAGUGAAACAGUGAAGAGGCCAAAGCUCUCUGCCCUCGAGGAGCUGUUUGCUGUAGAGGACAUGGAAAUAAAGUAAGAAAAGAGACCACCAGCACUGAUAAGGCACUACAGAUUACUUCCAUCUCCUCAGUCCUCAGCGAGUCCAGUAACCCUGGUGGUGUGACAUGAAGGACAUGGCCAAUGCUGUUUUUGAUAUGGCUACAGGGUAUCUCUGUGUGCAAGCAACAUCCACACCCUCAGAGCGUGCAUUUUCUACUGCAUUGAAAAUGUUUUAAUGAUACCUAGCCCUAUAUCAGUGUUUCUCAAACUUUUUCAGCAUAGGGACCACUUUAUCUUCAGAUUUUUUUCUAAGGACCAACUAACAGAAUCCCACUCUAACACGCCUCCAAAAAAACAACAAAAGUGUAAUAUGAAACUGUUUCAAGUCAAAAACUAAUUUUUUUAACACAAGUGCAAUGAUAUGUUCAGAAAUUAUUAUAUUAAUUUUAUUUCAUUACAAAAAGUAAAUGUGAAAUGAGUUGCAGCUUAAUAUGAACAACAAACUGCACAUGUGAAAAAACUGCAAUUAAACAUAACAGCCUAGGUCCCACUUAAUGUCAUUCCAAAGAGCCAUUAGUUUAAACCUCAGUGGUGGUGGGUAUAUGGUUGUAACUAUGGUAACAAUAAAAUGCUGAAAAAAAAGGUUCCCCUUAAUUUCCAAAAUCACUGAAAUUACAGAACUAACAGAUAUGUGGAUUUUAGCUGCUUUCAGUUGACGCUUGAUCUUUUUUUUUCUCCUCUUUGGUUUAGCCACCGAUCCAUUUUUACGUUAUUAAAACAGAAUGGCAAGAACUGAUAUCACAGUUUCACAAGGGCAUUAAAAAUCUUUUUAAAUAAUUGACAAUUUUGUAUAAACACUUGCCUAGUUUAGGUCAUCUUUUGGCAGACCACUGGGGGGUUUGGGACCACACUUUAAGAAUUACUGCCCUAUAUAAAUGUGAAGUAAAUACUUGCUUUUAUAUUAUUAUUAUAUAUUGAUGGAUUUUUUUUGUCCGUAGGUACAGAUUAACUAGUAUCAGCUUAGUAACCACUGAUUAAUCUAAAUGUUUUCAAGUUAACUUCUCUUUUGUGUUCUUUUGCAGAUGCUUUCAUAAAACAUCAUAAGGUGGAAACUGUUGGACAGUUAUGAUAGGCUAUGAACUCUGAGAUGGCAAAGAGAAAGGAGACAUAAGCCUGCCCCCAAUCCAAAUUUAUGCUUUGAUUUUAUAUCUGAAGUCUAGUAUUUGUUGCUGGCUGGAUUCAUGUUGUUAAUGUGCAGUUAAUGGAUAUACUAUAUAUGUGCUUAACAUAUAUAUUAUGUGCAUAAAUGUAUACCCCAUUGUUUGUAAAAUCUGAUUUCAGUGCCCACUGAUUUAUUGGGGCAGUGUGAUAAAA